This 452-nucleotide long non-coding RNA is filed under the name Carica papaya (papaya). RNAcentral describes it as "long non-coding RNA (CPAP_LNC005374)". The record is from RNAcentral. Lineage: Eukaryota; Viridiplantae; Streptophyta; Magnoliopsida; Brassicales; Caricaceae.
CAUUUUCCAAACAGACAUCAAGAGAAUUAAAUACAAAAGAUAACAGAAUAAUAAUUGCAAACAGACAUCAUAUUCAGACCACUAUUUCCCUCUUUUUUUAUUUCCUAUUCUUCUCCUAUUCCCAUCCUUUCAAUUUUCCUCCUAUGUUUCUAGCAUAUCUCCUCUGUCCUCUCCUCAUAGCUGUCCACACAAUAAUUCCAUCAUUUCAUCCCAUCUUCUAUUUAUCCUUAGAUAUCACUCUCCAUUUUUUUAAUUUUACUCUUGGUUCAAAUCUCAUUUCAAGAAAAUUUUCCAAUUCCCAGAUCAACUCAUUUCUUCCCAAAAAUAUCUGAAAGAAUUUAGAAGAUAAAUUUUACUUAAGUGGUGAGAGUCAAAUUUCACUUACCUUUGUUCUCAAUGACGACAUUAAUAUGAUUGAUGGAUUCCUCCCUUGUUCCGCUCCCAAUUCCACC